UACGUAGGAGACGAGCGUUGUCCGGAAUCACUGGGCGUAAAGAGCUCGUAGGCGGUUUGUCACGUCUGCUGUGAAAACUGGAGGCUCAACCUCCAGCCUGCAGUGGGUACGGGGCAGACUAGAGUGCGGUAGGGGAGAUUGGAAUUCCUGGUGUAGCGGUGGAAUGCGCAGAUAUCAGGAGGAACACCGAUGGCGAAGGCAGAUCUCUGGGCCGUAACUGACGCUGAGGAGCGAAAGCAUGGGGGAGCGAACAGG
Molecule: ribosomal RNA, 255 nt
Filed under: uncultured bacterium
Lineage: Bacteria
Description: partial 16S ribosomal RNA
Rfam family: Bacterial small subunit ribosomal RNA
Source: RNAcentral